RNAcentral lists this long non-coding RNA (318 nucleotides) under Salmo salar (Atlantic salmon). RNAcentral's name for it is "lncRNA (ENSSSAG00000101125.1)". The record is from RNAcentral. Lineage: Eukaryota; Metazoa; Chordata; Actinopteri; Salmoniformes; Salmonidae.
CAGACAGGCAGGUACCUUAUCUAGACAGGUUACAGACAGGCAGGUACCUUAUCUAGACAGGUUACAGACAGGCAGACAGACAGACAGGUACCUUAUCUAUACAGGUUACAGACAGGCAGGUACCUUAUCUAGACAGGUCACAGACAGACAGACAGGUACCUUAUCUAUACAGGUUACAGACAGACAGGUACCUUAUCUAUACAGGUUACAGACAGGCAGGCCGGCAGGCAGACAGACAGACAGACAGGCAGGCAGGCAGGCAGGAAGGCAGGCAGGCAGAGGCAGGAUAUAUUACUGUAAUUCAAUAAUAUAAUAAAU